GCCUGAGUCGUCUGUGGGUACGCUGGACUUGCGGUCCGUCUCCUGGCGCGGUUCAGGCAGUCGGGGAUGGGGCGGGGUCUCGCCGUCGGGUCGCCGAUGGGUCGAACUUCCGUUCAGACGUCCCGGGUCCGGCGCGGGGAAGGCAGCCUGGCGCGCGCUAAUUGCCUAUUGGCCUGUGCUGCCGGCUCGCAGCCCGGGUGGACCCGAGCCACGCCCCCUGGAGUGCGCCGGAAAGCCGGGCGCGCUAGAGCUCGCGGGAGGCCAUCAUGAGGAAGCCACGAGCAGCCGUGGGAAGUGGUCACAGGAAGCAGGCAGCCAGCCAGGAAGGGAGGCAGAAGCAUGCUAAGAACAACAGUCAGGCCAAGCCUUCUGCCUGUGAUGGUAAGGAACUAGGUUGUGGCCCAAGGCUCAUUGGCCAUGAAAGGCAGAUUCAGGCUGGGAAGGGAUUGUGAUACGUAUCAAGACAUUAAGAGACUUACUAAGGGCCAGGUGCGGUGGCUCACACCUGUAAUCCCAGCACUUUGGGAGGCCGAGGCAGGUGGAUCCCUUGAGCCCAGGAGUUUGAGACCAGCUUGGGUAACAUGGCGAAAUCCCCUCUCUAUGCUCGCGUGGUGGUGAGCGUCUGUAGUCCCAGCUACUCGGGAAGCUGAGGUGACAGGAUCGCUUGAGCCU
RNAcentral lists this long non-coding RNA (672 nucleotides) under Homo sapiens (human). RNAcentral's name for it is "non-protein coding lnc-TESK2-2:5". Lineage: Eukaryota; Metazoa; Chordata; Mammalia; Primates; Hominidae. The record is from RNAcentral.